RNAcentral lists this ribosomal RNA (445 nucleotides) under uncultured bacterium. Its description in RNAcentral is "bacterial SSU rRNA". It matches the Rfam family "Bacterial small subunit ribosomal RNA", at positions 330 to 792 of the family's 1533-position model. The record is from RNAcentral.
GCCAGACUCCUACGGGAGGCAGCAGUGGGGGAUAUUGCACAAUGGGGGGAACCCUGAUGCAGCGACGCCGCGUGGGUGAAGAAGUAUUUCGGUAUGUAAAGCCCUAUCGGCAGGAAAGAAAAUGACGGUACCUGAGUAAGAAGCCCCGGCUAACUACGUGCCAGCAGCCGCGGUAAUACGUAGGGGGCAAGCGUUAUCCGGAUUUACUGGGUGUAAAGGGAGCGUAGACGGCAGUGCAAGUCUGGAGUGAAAGGCGGGGGCUCAACCCCCGGACUGCUCUGGAAACUGUACGGCUGGAGUGCAGGAGGGGUAAGUGGAAUUCCUAGUGUAGCGGUGAAAUGCGUAGAUAUUAGGAGGAACACCAGUGGCGAAGGCGGCUUACUGGACUGUAACUGACGUUGAGGCUCGAAAGCGUGGGGAGCAAACAGGAUUAGAUACCCGGGUA